GACGAACGCUGGCGGCGCGCUUAACACAUGCAAGUCGAACGUGAAGCGGGAGCUUGCUCCCGUGGAAAGUGGCGAACGGGUGCGUAACACGUGAGCAACCUGCCCCGAAGACUGGGAUAACACCGGGAAACCGGUGCUAAUACCGGAUACCUUCUUCCGAUCGCAUGGUUGGAUGAAGAAAUGGAUUCCGCUUCGGGAUGGGCUCGCGGCCUAUCAGCUUGUUGGUGAGGUAACGGCCCACCAAGGCGACGACGGGUAGCUGGUCUGAGAGGACGACCAGCCACACUGGGACUGAGACACGGCCCAGACUCCUACGGGAGGCUG
RNAcentral lists this ribosomal RNA (324 nucleotides) under uncultured Actinomycetes bacterium. RNAcentral's name for it is "bacterial SSU rRNA". It matches the Rfam family "Bacterial small subunit ribosomal RNA", at positions 28 to 351 of the family's 1533-position model. Lineage: Bacteria; Bacillati; Actinomycetota; Actinomycetes. The record is from RNAcentral.